This 253-nucleotide ribosomal RNA is filed under the name uncultured bacterium. RNAcentral describes it as "partial 16S ribosomal RNA". It matches the Rfam family "Bacterial small subunit ribosomal RNA", at positions 524 to 776 of the family's 1533-position model. The record is from RNAcentral.
GACGAACCGUGCGAACGUUGUUCGGAUUCACUGGGCUUAAAGGGCGCGUAGGCGGGCAUCAGGGUCCGGGGUGAAAGCCCCCAGCUCAACUGGGGAAUGGCCUUGGAAACCGGAUGCCUCGAGGGAGGUAGGGGCAGGUGGAACUUCCGGUGGAGCGGUGAAAUGCGUAGAUAUCGGAAGGAACGCCGGUGGCGAAAGCGACCUGCUGGACCUCUUCUGACGCUGAGGCGCGAAAGCUAGGGGAGCAAACGGG